GAUUCCUACGGGAGGCAGCAGUGGGGAAUAUUGCGCAAUGGGCGGAAGCCUGACGCAGCGACGCCGCGUGAGGGAUGAAGGCCCUGCGGGUCGCAGACCUCUUUGGACGGGGAGCAAGGCCGCCGACGUGUCGGCGGAAGGAGAGUACCCGUAGAACAAGCAUCGGCUAACUCCGUGCCAGCAGCCGCGGUAAUACGGAGGAUGCGAGCGUUAUCCGGAUUUAUUGGGUUUAAAGGGUGCGCAGGCGUCACGGCAAGCCGGCGGUCAAAUC
RNAcentral lists this ribosomal RNA (271 nucleotides) under uncultured bacterium. Its description in RNAcentral is "partial 16S ribosomal RNA". It matches the Rfam family "Bacterial small subunit ribosomal RNA", at positions 334 to 601 of the family's 1533-position model. The record is from RNAcentral.